RNAcentral lists this ribosomal RNA (1687 nucleotides) under Bostrychus sinensis (four-eyed sleeper). Its description in RNAcentral is "16S rRNA". The stretch from base 111 to 1574 matches the Rfam family "Bacterial large subunit ribosomal RNA". The record is from RNAcentral. Lineage: Eukaryota; Metazoa; Chordata; Actinopteri; Gobiiformes; Eleotridae.
CAUACCCAACAGCUAGCCCUCCCACCCAAAAACAACAAACACCAUUAAUAACCCCUCAAACCAAAUACUUCCCCCAAAUUAAAUCAUUCUCCCUCCUGAGUAUGGGAGACAGAAAAGGACCUCACGGCGCUAUAGAAAAAGUACCGCAAGGGAAAGCUGAAAGAGAAAUGAAAUAACCCAGUAAAGAGAAAAAAAGCAGAGACUAACCCUCGUACCUUUUGCAUCAUGAUUUAGCCAGCAGCCUUCAAGCAAAGCGCACUUUAGUUUGAAACCCCGAAACUAAGCGAGCUACUCCAAGACAGCCUAUUAUAGGGCAAACCCGUCUCUGUGGCAAAAGAGUGGGAAGAGCUUCGAGUAGAGGUGACAGACCUACCGAGCUUAGUUAUAGCUGGUUGCCUAAAAAAUGAAUAGAAGUUCAGCCUUUUAACUUUCUCCGUUUCAAAAUGGACUCCCACCACCAAAUACAAGAGAAAUUAAUAGAGUUAUUCAAAGGGGGGACAGCCCCUUUGAAAAAAGACACAACUUUAAUAGCAGGCAAAAGAACAAAAGAAUCAAGGCACUAUAUCCUAGUGGGCCUAAAAGCAGCCACCCAUGUAGAAAGCGUUAAAGCUCAAAUAUUAAGCACCCUCAAUUCCGACAACCACAUCCUAAGCCCCUUAACUUAUUAGGCCUUUCCAUGCAAACAUGGAAGAGACCAUGCUAAUAUGAGUAAUAAGAGGGCCAAGCCCCUCUCCAAGCACCCGUGUAAAUCAGAACGAACCCCCACUGAAAAUUAACGUCCCCAAUCAAAGAGGGAAUUGAGCCCACACACAUAUAAACCUAGAAAAGCCUUCAACAGACUAAACGUUAACCCCACACAGGUGUGCCCAAGGAAAGACUAAAAGAAAAAGAAGGAACUCGGCAAACACUGGCCUCGCCUGUUUACCAAAAACAUCGCCUCUUGCAUCAUAAGUAUAAGAGGUCCCGCCUGCCCUGUGACGAGAAGUUUAACGGCCGCGGUAUUUUGACCGUGCGAAGGUAGCGUAAUCACUUGUCUUUUAAAUGAAGACCGGUAUGAAUGGCAUAACGAGGGCUAAGCUGUCUCCUUUUUCCAGUCAAUGAAAUUGAUCUGCCCGUGCAGAAGCGGGCAUUCAUCCAUAAGACGAGAAGACCCUAUGGAGCUUUAGACACCAGGACAGCCCACGUUAAAACACCCCAAUACAUCAAAGGACCAAACUAAAUGGCCCCUGUCUUCCUGUCUUUGGUUGGGGCGACCGCGGGGCAACAAAAACCCCCCACGUGGAACGAAACAUCCUUUCCUAAAACCAGAGCCACAGCUCUAAUAUACAGAACUUCUGACCAACAAGAUCCGGCACUGCCGAUCAACGGACCGAGUUACCCUAGGGAUAACAGCGCAAUCCCCUUUUAGAGCCCAUAUCGACAAGGGGGUUUACGACCUCGAUGUUGGAUCAGGACAUCCUAAUGGUGCAGCCGCUAUUAAGGGUUCGUUUGUUCAACGAUUAAAGUCCUACGUGAUCUGAGUUCAGACCGGAGAAAUCCAGGUCAGUUUCUAUCUAUGAAGUGCUCUUUUCUAGUACGAAAGGACCGAAAAGAUGAGGCCUCUACUACAAGCAAGCCUCCCCCUUACCUAAUGAAGCCAACUAAAAUAGGCAAAAGGGCACAACUCCCCUGCCCAAGAAAAUGGCAA